This 527-nucleotide long non-coding RNA is filed under the name Elaeis guineensis (African oil palm). RNAcentral describes it as "long non-coding RNA (EGUI_LNC030632)". The record is from RNAcentral. Lineage: Eukaryota; Viridiplantae; Streptophyta; Magnoliopsida; Arecales; Arecaceae.
AAAAAUCGAGGGAUUUGAGAGAUUUUCUCAAGGAAUACCGUGGGUGGUUGAUCGGAAGAGAGGGGGGUCGUCGGAGCUAUCUUUGGACGGUGGAGCAAGGUAUUCCUCUUCUCCUUUUUAUUCUCCAGUCACCAGUGUAUUUGGAAGCCGGCGAGAUGUCGGUUCGGGCUCAAACAGGGACACCCCUGUUUACAUUUUGUUUUUUUUUCUCCCCCGUGUGCCACCGGCAACAGCCAUCGUUGGGGCUGUCACUGCGUCGCCGUCGGUUGCUGUCGGAGCGUGGCCGGAGUCGGCCCUCCUUAGCCGCUUGAGGGAGAGAGGAGAUGGACGGGGAUGAUGCCCCUGUUUUGUCCCAAAGGAACCCACGGGAAGAAAAGAAGGAAGAAGAAGAAAAGAAGAAGAAGAAGAAAGCAAAAGAAAAAGAAAAAGAAAAAGAAAAGGAAAAAAGAGAAAAAGAAAUAAAAAGAAAAAGAAAAAGAGAAAGAAAAAAAUAAAAAUAAAAUAAAAAGAAGAAGAAGAAAAAAAAA